This 499-nucleotide ribosomal RNA is filed under the name uncultured bacterium. RNAcentral's name for it is "partial 16S ribosomal RNA". It matches the Rfam family "Bacterial small subunit ribosomal RNA", at positions 28 to 507 of the family's 1533-position model. The record is from RNAcentral.
GACGAACGCUGGCGGCGUGCUUAACAUAUGCAAGUCGAACGGGCCUGUCUUCUUUUUUGGGGGUGGGUUGAGUGGCGAACGGGUGAGUAUCACGUGAGUAACCUGCCCUUCGGUCCUGGAUAACCGCUUGAAAGGGCGGCUAAUACGGGGUGGUCCGGUUGGUCCGCAUGGGCUGGUCGGGAUAGAUUCACUGUUUUUGGUGUUUCGGCGGGGGAUGGGCUCGCGGCCUAUCAGCUUGUUGGUGGGGUGAUGGCCUACCAAGGCGGUGACGGGUAGCCGGCCUGAGGGGGUGGGCGGCCACACUGGGACUGAGGUACGGCCCAGACUCCUGCGGGAGGCAGCAGUGGGGGGUAUUGCACAAUGGGCGGAAGCCUGAUGCAGCGACGUCGCGUGAGGGAUGGAGGCCUUCGGGUUGUGAACCUCUGUUUCCGGUGGUGAAGGCCCUGUCCGUGUGGUGGGGUUGACGGUAGCCGGGGAUGAAGCGCCGGCUAACUACGUG